AAGAAGUGUUGCAGGGCUCAAAGUGGAGAUGUUAAAGCACGUCUCCGAGCGCAGGGGCGGGGGGAGCGGGGGCAGAACUUGGGGAGGGUACAGGAGCGAGCACCCAGCAGCCGCUGUGAGCCCUCAGAGAGCAGCGAGCUGGGUGAGGCACCUGCUCCAGGGGCACCUGCAGAAACCAGCAGGAAGUGGCUGCCUCCAUCACAAGUGCCAGAGCCUCUGAGAGCAUCGCGUGUUCUCUUCAUGAUCACAUUCGGGGAUGCACAGCUUCUCACUGCCCUGGGAGCCUGCACGGGGGAGCUGAACUUCCACCCCAAGCAUGGAUGAGGCCAGCGCUGGAGUCCAGGAUUCUGAUGCUGUCUUUUUCCUUUUUCUUUUUCUUUUUCUUUUUUUCUUUUUCUUUUUCUUUUUCUUUUUCUUUUUCUUUUUCUUUUUCUUUUUCUUUUUCUUUUUCUUUUUCUUUUUCUUCUUUCUUUUCCCUUGCCUCUUCCUCUUCCUCUUCCUUUUCUUUUUCCUUUUCCUUUUCCUUCUUCUUCUUCUUCUUCUUCUUCUUUUUCUUCUUUUUCUUUUCAUCUUUCUUAUUUUUUCUUUCUCUUUCUCCUUCUUUCUCCCUUGCCUCUUCCUCUUCCUCUUCCUCUUCCUCUUCCUCUCCUCUCCUUUUUCCCUUUUCCUUUCCCUUUUCCUUUUUUCUUUUUAUCUUUUUUUGUUUUUCCUUUUUCUUCUUUUUCUUUUUCCUUUUCCAUUUUCUUUCUCGUUUUCUUUUUUCUCUUUUCUUUUCUUUUCUUUUCUUUUCUUUUCUUUUCUUUUCUUUUCUUUUCUUUUCUUUUCUUUUCUUUUCUUUUCUUUUCUUUUCUCUUUUCUCUUUUCUUUUCUCUUUUCUUUUCUCUUUUCUUUUCUUUACUUUUCUCUUCUUUUCUUUUUUCUUUACUUUACUUUUCUGUUCCUUACUUUUCUGUUCUUUACUUUACUUUACUUUACUUUACUUUUUUCUUUUCUCCUUUUCUCAUUUUCCUUUCUCUUUUUCUCCUUUUCUUUCUUUCUCUUUUUCAUCUUUCUCUUCCUUUUUUUUUUUAUACAAAACCUAAGCUGUUACAGAGACCUCUUUAAAAAGACAAAUGAACAUUUGCUAAAUCCUUUCUUCCGCAAAUAAAGUCCCGCAAAAUCCUG
RNAcentral lists this long non-coding RNA (1164 nucleotides) under Numida meleagris (helmeted guineafowl). Its description in RNAcentral is "lncRNA (ENSNMEG00000020246.1)". Lineage: Eukaryota; Metazoa; Chordata; Aves; Galliformes; Numididae. The record is from RNAcentral.